UUCUCUUGAGAGCGGCGGACGGGUGAGUAAUGCCUAGGAAUCUGCCUGGUAGUGGGGGAUAACGUCCGGAAACGGACGCUAAUACCGCAUACGUCCUACGGGAGAAAGCAGGGGACCUUCGGGCCUUGCGCUAUCAGAUGAGCCUAGGUCGGAUUAGCUAGUUGGUGGGGUAAUGGCUCACCAAGGCGACGAUCCGUAACUGGUCUGAGAGGAUGAUCAGUCACACUGGAACUGAGACACGGUCCAGACUCCUACGGGAGGCAGCAGUGGGGAAUAUUGGACAAUGGGCGAAAGCCUGAUCCAGCCAUGCCGCGUGUGUGAAGAAGGUCUUCGGAUUGUAAAGCACUUUAAGUUGGGAGGAAGGGCAGUAAAUUAAUACUUUGCUGUUUUGACGUUACCGACAGAAUAAGCACCGGCUAACUCUGUGCCAGCAGCCGCGGUAAUACAGAGGGUGCAAGCGUUAAUCGGAAUUACUGGGCGUAAAGCGCGCGUAGGUGGUUCGUUAAGUUGGAUGUGAAAUCCCCGGGCUCAACCUGGGAACUGCAUUCAAAACUGACGAGCUAGAGUAUGGUAGAGGGUGGUGGAAUUUCCUGUGUAGCGGUGAAAUGCGUAGAUAUAGGAAGGAACACCAGUGGCGAAGGCGACCACCU
This 650-nucleotide ribosomal RNA is filed under the name Pseudomonas sp. EECC-513. Its description in RNAcentral is "bacterial SSU rRNA". It matches the Rfam family "Bacterial small subunit ribosomal RNA", at positions 84 to 730 of the family's 1533-position model. Lineage: Bacteria; Pseudomonadati; Pseudomonadota; Gammaproteobacteria; Pseudomonadales; Pseudomonadaceae. The record is from RNAcentral.